UACGUAGGGUGCGAGCGUUGUCCGGAAUUAUUGGGCGUAAAGAGCUCGUAGGCGGUGUGUCGCGUCGGCCGUGAAAACCUGCAGCUUAACUGUGGGCUUGCGGUCGAUACGGGCAUCACUGGAGUUCGGCAGGGGAGACUGGAAUUCCUGGUGUAGCGGUGAAAUGCGCAGAUAUCAGGAGGAACACCUGCGGUGUAGACGGCUUACUGGACGGUAACUGACGCUGAGGCACGAAAGCGUGGGUAGCAAACAGG
Molecule: ribosomal RNA, 254 nt
Filed under: uncultured bacterium
Lineage: Bacteria
Description: partial 16S ribosomal RNA
Rfam family: Bacterial small subunit ribosomal RNA
Source: RNAcentral